CCUAGAUAUUAUCUAAGGUGAAACCUGCCCAAUGAUUUUUAAUUUAAAACAAGUAAAAAUUGUUUAAAAAAAUUAAACGGACGCGGUAACCUUGACCGUGAUAAUGUAGCAUAAUCACUCGCCAUUUAAUUGAUGGAUAGUAUGAAUGGUUAAACGAAUAUUCCACUGUCUUAAAAAGAGAAACCUAAAAAUUUAAAUAAUAGUUAAGAUGCUAUUUAAAAUUGUAAGACGAAAAGACCCUAUAGAGCUUAACUAUAUUCUUUUAAUAAAAUAGAAAAUCAAUUCAAAAAAAAGAAAGAAUGGUAGUUUAGUUGGGGCGACUGUUUUCUAAAAAUAACGAAAACAAGCAAAGUUAAUAACAUAUUUAUUGUAUAAUUAAUUUAUUUAACAAUUACAAAAGUAGGCUAUAAUGACCCGUUUUUUCUCGGUAAAAAGAAUAACGAUCAAUAAAUAAAAGCUACCUUAGGGAUAACAGGAUAAUUUCAUUUUAGAGAUCUAAUCGAAAAUGAAGUUUGUCACCUCUAUGUUGAAUUAAGAUAUCCCGACGAUGCAGAAGUUGUCAAAGGUAGGUCUGUUCGACCUUUAAAAU
This 589-nucleotide ribosomal RNA is filed under the name Staurotheca densa. RNAcentral describes it as "partial 16S ribosomal RNA". It matches the Rfam family "Bacterial large subunit ribosomal RNA", at positions 1835 to 2594 of the family's 2925-position model. The record is from RNAcentral. Lineage: Eukaryota; Metazoa; Cnidaria; Hydrozoa; Leptothecata; Sertulariidae.